GUUAGACAUGGUGGCACAUGCCUGUAAUCCCAGUGGCUCAGGAGGCUGAGGCAGGGGGAUCACGAGUUCAAAGCCAGCCUCAGGAAUGGCGAGGCCCUAAGCAACUCAGUGAGACCCUGUCUCUA
This 125-nucleotide small RNA is filed under the name Marmota monax (woodchuck). The record is from RNAcentral. Lineage: Eukaryota; Metazoa; Chordata; Mammalia; Rodentia; Sciuridae.